ACGCUCGACACCUACGGAGGCAGCAGUGAGGAAUAUUGGUCAAUGGGCGCAGGCCUGAACCAGCCAAGUAGCGUGAAGGAUGACUGCCCUAUGGGUUGUAAACUUCUUUUAUAUGGGAAUAAAGUUUUCCACGUGUGGAAUUUUGUAUGUACCAUAUGAAUAAGGAUCGGCUAACUCCGUGCUAGCAGCCGCGGUAAUCUGAGCGGGCUGGCAAGGC
RNAcentral lists this ribosomal RNA (217 nucleotides) under uncultured bacterium. RNAcentral's name for it is "partial 16S ribosomal RNA". It matches the Rfam family "Bacterial small subunit ribosomal RNA", at positions 328 to 539 of the family's 1533-position model. The record is from RNAcentral.